This 88-nucleotide transfer RNA is filed under the name Microcaldota archaeon. Its description in RNAcentral is "tRNA-Leu". It matches the Rfam family "tRNA". From Rfam's summary of the family: Transfer RNA (tRNA) molecules are approximately 80 nucleotides in length. Their secondary structure includes four short double-helical elements and three loops (D, anti-codon, and T loops). Further hydrogen bonds mediate the characteristic L-shaped molecular structure. tRNAs have two regions of fundamental functional importance: the anti-codon, which is responsible for specific mRNA codon recognition, and the 3' end, to which the tRNAs corresponding amino acid is attached (by aminoacyl-tRNA synthetases). tRNAs cope with the degeneracy of the genetic code in two manners: having more than one tRNA (with a specific anti-codon) for a particular amino acid; and 'wobble' base-pairing, i.e. permitting non-standard base-pairing at the 3rd anti-codon position. The record is from RNAcentral. Lineage: Archaea; Nanobdellati; Microcaldota.
GCAGGGGUGGCGGAGCCUGGUCAAACGCGACAGACUCAAGAUCUGUUGGCUUAGGCCUGCGAGAGUUCAAAUCUCUCCCCCUGCACCA